RNAcentral lists this unclassified non-coding RNA (372 nucleotides) under soil metagenome. RNAcentral's name for it is "partial contains 5.8S ribosomal RNA, internal transcribed spacer 2, and large subunit ribosomal RNA". The stretch from base 1 to 120 matches the Rfam family "5.8S ribosomal RNA", at positions 35 to 154 of the family's 154-position model. The record is from RNAcentral.
GAUGAAGAACGUAGCGAAAUGCGAUACGUAAUGUGAAUUGCAGAAUUCAGUGAAUCAUCGAAUCUUUGAACGCACAUUGCGCCCUUUGGUAUUCCGAAGGGCAUGCCUGUUCGAGCGUCAUUAUCACCCCUCAAGCCCUCGGCUUGGUGUUGGACGGUUUGGUGGAGGCCCCCUCGGGGGCUCCUGCCCCUCCCAAAGACAAUGACGGCGGCCUCGUUGGACCCCCGGUACACUGAGUUCUUCACGGGACACGUAUCGGACACAUGGGUUUACGGGACACGGUCUGCAUCCCCUCAGGGAGAAUCUUUCUAAGGUUGACCUCGGAUCAGGUAGGGAUACCCGCUGAACUUAAGCAUAUCAAUAAGCGGAGGA